ACUACAUAAAAUAUCAUCAACCAAAUACAUAUGAUCUUAUCAAAAUCAAAACUCAAAAGUUAAAUAGUAAUAAAAGCAUAUCUAAAUAUUAAAUCCCAACAUCAUGGUUUAUCAAUCAUCAAAACCUUAAAAAUCAGCUAGUGUUGACCGUGAAGUACGCAGACACCAGAAACAACCAUCAUUCAGGUUCAACAAGUCACAAACUUGUAGACGGUCAAAGAUUGCAUGACCUCCAGCUCCAGCAAUUUAUAAACUCAAAAAUUGAUGGUAAAGGAGUCAGGGCAGGCUGCUGCCCACAUCUUUCUAAAACCACCAGUGCCCAUAGCCCCAUACCCUAGUUCUAGUUGUGGCUCAUUUUAGCA
RNAcentral lists this long non-coding RNA (362 nucleotides) under Arachis ipaensis. RNAcentral describes it as "long non-coding RNA (AIPA_LNC001146)". The record is from RNAcentral. Lineage: Eukaryota; Viridiplantae; Streptophyta; Magnoliopsida; Fabales; Fabaceae.